Long non-coding RNA from Lethenteron reissneri (Far Eastern brook lamprey), 824 nucleotides. RefSeq lists it as uncharacterized. The record is from RefSeq and is a predicted model, not a curated record. NCBI's taxonomy places the organism in Eukaryota, Metazoa, Chordata, Hyperoartia, Petromyzontiformes, Petromyzontidae.
CUGCUAUAAAUGCCGGGUUGAUGCCCACAGAAAGGCACAGCACGAGGUCAACUCUUCAUAACUCCUUCCGACUCGUCAGCAUUACUUCCGUCGCUUCAACAUGAGCUGCCCAUCGAAGAAGUGUGAAGACCUGGAGGCCAAGUUCAAGGCUCUGGACAAGGAUGGCAACAAGAGCCUGAGCAAGGCGGAGCUGAAGGCCGGCCUCUCGAUCCUUGGACUCAGCGAGGCUCAACUGGACAGCUUCUACGUGGCAGCAGACAAGGACAAGGAUGGCAAGAUCAGUAUGAGCGAGUUCGUCAGAUACUUCCAGCAAAAGAAGUAAAGAGUGGAAGCUGAAAACCGACCACAUGGCCCCGUGCAACACUGCAACACCACUCGGACACACACCACCAGUCGCGCACACACACCCACAAUGCACACGAUGCACACUCACACACACACCCACGAUGCACACUCACACACCGCCAACACGUGCAGACCACCAACACGUGUUGGAGGCACACACCGGCUCAGCACACACUUCUUUCACACGAAUGCAAAACGUCCCAAAAAAUGAAAGUGCUUAGCACGUAAAAUAUCUCUUUUAUACGUGAAAUGUAAUGCAAUUGACACCCUAGAUGCAUAUUACGAUCCUCUACGACAGAUAUUUCAGACAUAUGUGCAGUCCAUCAAUACAUACUCUACAUGCAUUUACUAAUAACAGAAUAUACACGCACGAUACAAAAUUAUCUCAAAUGCUGUCUGGUUUUCUCUCUUUCCUGUGGGGUUUUUGGUGAGGUGAUACGAAUGAAUUGAACUGGAAAUAAAAUGACAAUCUACCAGUG